AGACCUUUUAUCUAUGUGGGGCACCAUCUUUGUUCUGUUGAUGCUCCAACGUGUAUGUAGAUGUUCUCUUCAUCUAUCUCAUGGAACUCCAAGGACAUUUGUAAUCAAAGGAAGAAGAGCCCCCAUGUGAUUCACCGAGAAGAGAAGAGAAGAGGAGCAGAAACAAUAAACUCUCUAGAGACGGUUUAAAUAGAGAGCGAAUAAGGAAUGAAUCAAAAUCAAAUGAGAACAGAAUAAAAAUGGAAUAAAGAUAAAAAUCAUAAAUAUAGAGAACUAAAAAUGUUGGGAAACGAGGGACAAGUUUUCCCGAAGUAAGACUGACUUUAAGGAGUCCCUAUUAUUUUCACAUGUCUUAUUUAUCUCUUAAUGUUUAUUUUUAUAUGAUAUCUGUAUGUUUCCUAUAUAUAUAUGGCAUCUUCUACAAGGACUAAAUCAGCAAAAACAGAUAGACAGACUUAUCCGUUUAGUUUAUAAAACAUAUAUUAGAUACCACCAAUAAAGUGAUUUUUAUUUCAAA
Molecule: long non-coding RNA, 517 nt
Organism: Spea bombifrons (plains spadefoot toad)
Lineage: Eukaryota; Metazoa; Chordata; Amphibia; Anura; Pelobatidae
Exons: 2
Source: RefSeq, a predicted model, not a curated record